GGGGCCCGCACUUGAUUGAUCAUGCAUGAGGCGCCACAGCACAUCUUUUAGCGAUCCAGACCUUUGAUCGGAUGAACCCCAUCGUGGAUGAGGAAUGGCCCAAAAAAUAUCCGAGGUUGGAAGAUCCUAAUCCAGCGAUCUUGAAAAGAAAGCCAAAGAUUGUACGGCUAUGAUCUUUCUACCUCGAAAGUUUUUGGAGCAUUUUUCCAUAGUUGGUCCACCAGCUCAACGGUCUAUAUCUGAGAUAAGCAAGAUCGUAUGAAUAUUUAGUCCUUGACCACAGGAUAUUCACAUACGUAGAUGAGAUCCAGCGUUCGUUAAGGUGGGCCCUAUGUAAGAAAGUACGUAUCUCAAAAACCACAAUGAUCAAAUGACUUUUGCCCAUUGAAUCUAGACUGUUGUUCACUUGUCCUUCCUUGUCUACCUGGACGGUUAGGAUAGUCUGAUCAUUGUGACUUUGGAGCUGUGGACCCUCCGUGGUAGGGCCCACCUCAUGAUCAGCUCAGUCCACAUCUAAGUGUCCCAGGUUUGCCGUUCUUGAUCAAGGGACGCAACUAACGUGCGCCGGUAGACACUGCACGGAAACAGGAUGUAAGGCAUGGGAUUAUUUUUAUAUCUACCACUCGAGUCGUUUGCUCUUGCAAAUGGUUUGGAACGCACCUGCGCAAAUUAGCAAAUUCCACGCAAAGCAAUAAAGGGGAAGGAAGCGCACCAUGGCAAGGCGACCGGAGAUUGUCUCGAAGUCCUGGCUGUUCUUCGAGUUCUCGAUGUAGUCCGAAAGCGAAGCGAAGAAUGGUGACACGUCAGCAUCGGGCCGCGUCCUGAUCAGACCGUCGCGGCCAGACCCGUACGACCUGAGAGUACACACGCGAGGCUGGAGGAUGAUUUUGGCGCUCUCGGACGAGGAUGAAGAAGAAUCGGCUGCCUUGAGUCUUGGAAUCGCCGACUCUCUCCUCGAGAGCGGCGAUUUCUGUUGAAUCAACUCGCAGAAGAUCGCCCGCGCGGCUGUGGCAGCCAUCGGGAAGAAAGAAGGAAAGAAUUGCCGAGGUAGGACGGGAGGAAAAGGGCGAGUAAUUGGAGCUUGGGGUUUGCUUUUGUUGGCGUCCUCGCGGUUGUUGAAUUGUACACGUCUCCCGCUAAUGUGGGAGAUUAUUACGUGGCAAUGUGGAUCCCACCCGGAGGCGUGGCGCAAAUGGCCGACGCAGGUGUAGUUUUCAGGACUGGAGAAAAGGGACGCGGAUUUCCUGCCUUCGCCUGCCUGCAACAUUAGGGCCAUCGUGAUGUUUGUGAGAAAUCCACACCGUCCAUCCGUUUUAAGAGCUUAUUUUAGGGUAUGUGACCAAAGAUCAAGUGAAUCCAAAACUAAGUGUGCUGCAUAAGAGGAAACAGUGGGGUUUAGUAACCAAAACAUUCGUGUGGCCACGAAAUUUCAUAUCAAGCUAAGUUUUAUGUGUUUACACUUCCUAUAGUGGGAAUGACCUUGUAAAUAGUUUAGAUGGCAGAUGAAUAUCAACGUAAAUUCCGGGAAAGGUUUUAACGGCAGCAAA
This is a long non-coding RNA of Magnolia sinica, 1547 nucleotides long. RefSeq lists it as uncharacterized. NCBI's taxonomy places the organism in Eukaryota, Viridiplantae, Streptophyta, Magnoliopsida, Magnoliales, Magnoliaceae. The record is from RefSeq and is a predicted model, not a curated record. The transcript has 2 exons.